Molecule: ribosomal RNA, 253 nt
Filed under: uncultured bacterium
Lineage: Bacteria
Description: partial 16S ribosomal RNA
Rfam family: Bacterial small subunit ribosomal RNA
Source: RNAcentral
UACAGAGGGGGCAAGCGUUAUUCGGAAUUAUUGGGCGUAAAGGGCGCGUAGGCGGCCUGGCAAGUGGAAGGUGAAAUCCCUCGGCUUAACCGAGGAACUGCCCUCCAAACUGCUUGGCUUGAGUCCGGGAGAGGUGACUGGAAUUCCUGGUGUAGCGGUGAAAUGCGCAGAUAUCAGGAGGAACACCGGUGGCGAAGGCGGGUCUCUGGGCCGAUACUGACGCUGAGGAGCGAAAGCGUGGGGAGCGAACAGG